UAGUCAUUGAUGAAGAAACUCCCUAUAUACC
Molecule: non-coding RNA, 31 nt
Filed under: Rattus norvegicus (Norway rat)
Lineage: Eukaryota; Metazoa; Chordata; Mammalia; Rodentia; Muridae
Source: RNAcentral